RNAcentral lists this transfer RNA (73 nucleotides) under Otolemur garnettii (small-eared galago). It matches the Rfam family "tRNA". Rfam says of the family: Transfer RNA (tRNA) molecules are approximately 80 nucleotides in length. Their secondary structure includes four short double-helical elements and three loops (D, anti-codon, and T loops). Further hydrogen bonds mediate the characteristic L-shaped molecular structure. tRNAs have two regions of fundamental functional importance: the anti-codon, which is responsible for specific mRNA codon recognition, and the 3' end, to which the tRNAs corresponding amino acid is attached (by aminoacyl-tRNA synthetases). tRNAs cope with the degeneracy of the genetic code in two manners: having more than one tRNA (with a specific anti-codon) for a particular amino acid; and 'wobble' base-pairing, i.e. permitting non-standard base-pairing at the 3rd anti-codon position. Lineage: Eukaryota; Metazoa; Chordata; Mammalia; Primates; Galagidae. The record is from Rfam by way of RNAcentral.
GGCACUGUAGCUAAGUGGUUAGAGCACUGGCCCUGCACACCAGAGGUGGCGAGUUCGAGCCUUGCCUGGGCGU